This is a non-coding RNA of Podarcis lilfordi (Lilford's wall lizard), 77 nucleotides long. The record is from the annotation of a GenBank genome assembly. NCBI's taxonomy places the organism in Eukaryota, Metazoa, Chordata, Lepidosauria, Squamata, Lacertidae.
GUCGCUCCAAGCCUCUGGUUGGUGAGAACGUGGCGCUGAUAACACCAAGGCCGCAGGUUCAAUCCCCGUAUGAGACA